ACCCAGCUGACGAGUCCCGAAUAGGACGAAACGCGCGUCCUGGAU
Molecule: non-coding RNA, 45 nt
Filed under: Schistosoma mansoni
Lineage: Eukaryota; Metazoa; Platyhelminthes; Trematoda; Strigeidida; Schistosomatidae
Source: RNAcentral